This 1252-nucleotide long non-coding RNA is filed under the name Mus spicilegus (steppe mouse). RNAcentral describes it as "lncRNA (ENSMSIG00000005823.1)". Lineage: Eukaryota; Metazoa; Chordata; Mammalia; Rodentia; Muridae. The record is from RNAcentral.
CUGGCAACCAGGAUGCACCACCAAGGAGGCUGGGCUGCGGAGGAGAACCCAGCCUUUCUAAAGCCAAGGCACACCAGAAUUGAGACUAUUUUGGUAGCACCCUGAGGGUGAUAUACGAGGCCCCUGGAGUGUAGAAGGACCCACUGAGGAUCCAGCAACCCUGGACAGAAUGGCCUAAGUUUAGAUAGGACCAGUGCUCUGUCGUGAAUGGAGUGAGAACCAAAACCUCCAGGAUGGCACCAUUCUCUCUGGACCAGAGAUGGAAGGUCAACACCUCAGCCUCCUCCUUCACACAGCAGCAUUUUCUCUUCUGCCAGCGAGAGCUGCAUCUGUCAGAGAGCCAGGGAGUAGUGGCUGAUGGCCCCACGAAACAGAAUUGUUCCAGGGACGAAGCCUUUGAUGGAUUGGCUGCUCUGCUGGCUGCUUUGGUAAAAUGGGUCAUAAAUAUUAACAGGCUGACAAACAUGUCAUGUCACACCUGUGACCAAGAAACACCCAGGCUUCUACCACUUUGUUCUUUUGAUAGACACCAUCUCCUUCUCUCCUGAACUUGCUCUGAUGGGUCUAUUCCUCCACCACCCUCCUCAGAGGACCAGGGUUCAGUUCCCAACACCCCUAUCAGGUGACUCACAACUUCCUAUAACUCCAGCUUCAGGGAGAAUCUGAUGCCCUCUUCUGGCCUCUGUGGGCAUUACACUCAUAUGCAGAUACCCAUAGAGGCCUACAGAGACACAUAUGUAAAAAAAAAUCAUCUUUUCAAAAACUAUUAUUAAUUGAUCUUAAAAGGCUUUAGUUUUGAUAAUGCCCAGGUCCAACAGGUUUAUAUGGUUUGUAAUCUGAGAUUUAUUUCCUACCUUAAUUCCUGAAGAUGGUUUUCUCCUAUUAUUUGUAAAAGUUAUAUAUUUUCACAUUUGAAUUUGACCAAUAUUAAGUGUUUAUGUGUUCUGGUGUUGUUCAAGGUGCUGGAAAGAUAGAUGUCACCAAGUCCUCCGGCACCCUUCAUCCUCUGAUGAGGAAAUCAGGUGAAGACACCAGAAUAUCUAUCGGUGAUGGAACCUAUAAGGGGUGGAUGAAGGACAGCUAGCAAGAGAGGGAUUAGGAAAGGACUCCUAGAAUUCUGAAUGAAGAGGAGCCAGCAGCAUUUGUAAAGCAAAGGAAGAGUGUUUCCAGCCACAGGAAGAGGCAAGACAGAGACUCAGAGAUGCAGAGGUUAUUAUUAAAAAAUAAUAAUAAAUUAAAAAAAAAAGCUGCA